This 484-nucleotide ribosomal RNA is filed under the name uncultured bacterium. Its description in RNAcentral is "partial 16S ribosomal RNA". It matches the Rfam family "Bacterial small subunit ribosomal RNA", at positions 30 to 507 of the family's 1533-position model. The record is from RNAcentral.
AUUGAACGCUGGCGGCAGGCCUAACACAUGCAAGUCGAGCGGAUGAAGGGAGCUUGCUCCUGGAUUCAGCGGCGGACGGGUGAGUAAUGCCUAGGAAUCUGCCUGGUAGUGGGGGAUAACGUCCGGAAACGGGCGCUAAUACCGCAUACGUCCUGAGGGAGAAAGUGGGGGAUCUUCGGACCUCACGCUAUCAGAUGAGCCUAGGUCGGAUUAGCUAGUUGGUGGGGUAAAGGCCUACCAAGGCGACGAUCCGUAACUGGUCUGAGAGGAUGAUCAGUCACACUGGAACUGAGACACGGUCCAGACUCCUACGGGAGGCAGCAGUGGGGAAUAUUGGACAGUGGGCGAAAGCCUGAUCCAGACAUGCCGCGUGUGUGAAGAAGGUCUUCGGAUUGUAAAGCACUUUAAGUUGGGAGGAAGGGCAGUAAGUUAAUACCUUGCUGUUUUGACGUUACCAACAGAAUAAGCACCGGCUAACUUCGUG